CCUACGGGUGGCUGCAGUGGGGAAUAUUGGACAAUGGGGGAAACCCUUAUCCAGCGACGCCGCGUGAGGGAAGAAGGUUUUCGGAUCGUAAACCUCUGUCAGUGGGGACGAUAAUGACGGUACCUACGUAUGAAGGCACUGCUAACUACGUGCCAGCAGCCGCGGUAAUACGUAGGUGGCAAGCGUUAUCCGGAAUUACUGGGUGUAAAGGGAGCGGAGGCGGGUUGUCAAGUCAGAAGUGAAAAUUAUGGGCUCAACCCAGAAGGUGCAUUUGAAACUGAAAUUCUUGAGUGAAGUAGAGGAAAGCGGAAUUCCAAGUGUAGCGGUGAAAUGCGUAGAGAUAAGGAGGAACACCAGUGGCGAAGGCGACUUGCUGGGCUGUAACUGACGCUGAGGCUCGAAAGCGUGGGGAGCAAACAGGAUUAGAUACCCUUGUAGUC
RNAcentral lists this ribosomal RNA (440 nucleotides) under uncultured bacterium. RNAcentral's name for it is "partial 16S ribosomal RNA". It matches the Rfam family "Bacterial small subunit ribosomal RNA", at positions 338 to 795 of the family's 1533-position model. The record is from RNAcentral.